RNAcentral lists this unclassified non-coding RNA (317 nucleotides) under Roseivivax halotolerans. Its description in RNAcentral is "Long range pseudoknot". Lineage: Bacteria; Pseudomonadati; Pseudomonadota; Alphaproteobacteria; Rhodobacterales; Roseobacteraceae. The record is from RNAcentral.
ACGGACGUUCACGACUACGAAGUGAAGAUGAAGAACGUCUUCAAGUUCCUCGAGAAGGGCGACAAGGUGAAAGUCACCCUCCGCUUCCGCGGACGCGAGAUGGCACACCAGAAUCUCGGCCGCGAACUCCUGGAGCGCGUCGCGGACGACGUGAAGGAAGUCGGCAAGGUCGAGAACAUGCCGAAGAUGGAAGGCCGCCAGAUGAUCAUGAUGAUCGGUCCGGUGAAAUAAGCUUCAUCGCCGUUUCGAGCGAGACCGGGGCACCCUUGGCGGUGCCCUUUUUCGUGAGCCAGCCCAGGCCCGGGGCCUCUUGGUCA